AGCCAACCCUCUCUCCCUCUAUAAAGCUCACUUGGCCGGCCACUCCACCUCCCUUUGCUCUCAUUUUUCACUCCCCACUCCUUCCUCCACUCACUCCUAUCCCUCUCCUACCUCUUCUCCACGAGCUGCUGCUCCUCCUAGCUACCAUGGCCGGCCAUGGCCAUGGAAAUCAUCCAAGAUGCAGCUCCCCUCCUCCCUCAAGCUCAUCCUCACCAUGAGAGCCUCCCUCUCCAUCUUCUCCCCAACCCUAGAUGGUUUAAUCUCCUCUUCUUCUUCCUCCAUUGCUAAGAUUGGAUCUUGAUGCAGGUGCAUGUUGGUCCAAGCAUGGAGAAGCUUGAGCUAUCCUCAGAUCUGAAGUUCUUGAGCAAAAUCCAAAUCGAGUGAUUCAAAGUUCUGCAGAUAGAUACGGAAAAGAUCUACAACUUGGCGUUGGUCUCAUACUCAAAUUCGUUACGGAUUGUCCGUGGUCAAGAUCUGGUCAGAUCUGACUUUGUCGAAUUAAACCAGGAGCUUGGGAACGAAUCUUUGAGUGAAACAAAUUGGGGGAUGUUUGGUUUAUACCAUGGUGAUAACCGAGAGAGGCAAUUGCUAAGUUGUGAUACUCUCAUACCUUUACUAGAUGCGAACAAUUCCGGAGAAGAAGAAGAAGUGGAAUUGGACAAGGAUUUUAUUUAUAUUGUUGGGAUUCUUAUAUUGAUAGAGUUGAAGAAGUACAGGGACAAAUAAGCCAAG
This is a non-coding RNA of Lolium perenne, 732 nucleotides long. The record is from RefSeq and is a predicted model, not a curated record. Lineage: Eukaryota; Viridiplantae; Streptophyta; Magnoliopsida; Poales; Poaceae.